CCUACCUGGUUGAUCCUGCCAGUAGUCAUAUGCUUGUCUCAAAGAUUAAGCCAUGCAUGUCUAAGUACGAGCUGUGUUUACACGGCGAGACCGCGGACGGCUCAUUAAAUCAGUCGUGGUCCAUAUGGGCUAGAGUUAAUCUUACUUGGAUAACUGUGGUAAUUCCAGAGCUAAUACAUGCAACUCUUAUCCUGAUGUAGCGCGGCUGGUAACGGUCGUUGCGCUGACGGAUGCUUUUAUUAGACCAAACCGUUGGGUGCGUGUUCAUCCUCGUGGUGUUCGCGUACGGCUCGUUUAAUGGUGACUCUGGAUAACCUUAUUGACAAGCGCACGUACUCCUCGUGGGACGGCGCUGCCACUUUCGAGUGUCUGCCUUAUCAGCUAUCAACCGUUCGUUAUGUGCGCACGAUGGCGUUGACGGGUAACGGGGAAUCAGAGUUCGAUUCCGGAGAGGCAGCCUGAGAGACGGCUACCACGUCCAAGGACGGCAGCAGGCACGCAAAUUACCCAAUCCCAGCACCUGGGGGAGGUAGUGACGAAAUAUAACGAUGCGGGCGCCCUUUCUGGGGCCCCGCAAUCGGAAUGGCCACUUUCUAAACAACCUGUUGAGAACCUACUGAAGGGCAAGUCUGGUGCCAGCAGCCGCGGUAAUUCCAGCUUCAGUAGCAUCUAUUAAAGUUGCUGCGGUUAAAAGGCUCGCAGUUGAAUGUCAGUAUCGAGCGCAGGUCAGGUGGACGUUGGGGCGUGAGCAUCCAAGGCAUGCGUUUGGUUGUUGUUGUUGUUGCACUCCGGUGUGAUGAUGAUGAUGAUCUUUCAUGUGUCGUUCACAAGCCCCCGUCCGUAACAAGCCUCCUCGCUUGUGUACAUAUCGGAAUCUGUAUUACGGAGUGUGCGUUGCGGAGGUUCUGGGUUGCGCGUUCGUGUUCUCUUGUACCUCGUGUGCGAGUUUGCGUGUUCGUUGCGCUUGUUCUCUUUUGCGCGUGCGUUAAGCUCCAUCGGUUCUAUAGUCACCCUGAGUAAAUCAGAGUGCUCAAAGCAGUCGUAGGGGCCUUGUGCCCUUUGAACAGUCUAGCGGACUGACUUGGUUUUGCAUGGUAUGUCGAAAGACGACGUCUAGCGCUGGCUCAGAGUGUUAAUCAGUGGUACAAGCCAGCCUAGACGUAAUGAUUAAAAGGGACAGUCGAGGGCAUUGGUAUUGCGAGGCGAGAGGUGAAAUUCUAUGACCCCCGCAAGACCUCCUGAAGCGAAAGCGUCCGCCAAGGAUGUUUUCAUUAAUCAUGAACGAAAGUUAGAGGAUCGAAGGCGAUCAGAUACCGCCCUAGUUCUAACCCUAAACGAUGCCAACCACCAAUCCGCGUGUAGCACCUUUCUUAACGGGCUCGGCGGGCAGCUCCUUACUUACGGGAAACCAGAGUCUCUGGGUUCCGGGGGGAGUCUGGUUGCAAAGCUGAAACUUAAAGGAAUUGACGGAAAGGCACCACCAGGCGUGGCAGCCUGCGGCUUAAUUUGACUCAACACGGGCCAUCUCACCAGGCCAGCACUCUUGUACGAUUGACAGAUUGAGAGCUCUUUCUCGAUUUAGUGGAUGGUGGUGCAUGGCCGUUCUUAGUUGGUGGAGUGAUCUGUCUGGUUAAUUCCGAUAACGAACGAGACUCUCCCCUGCUAACUAGUCGGUUGGAUCUUGAUAUUUUUAUUGAUGUCGCUGUGAGUCGUGUGCCGAGUAAACCUUACGUUUUCGGGGGCAUUGCGCGCGGGGGUGUGUGUUUGCGUGCUUUUUGUGGUUCAUUCUGCAUUGGUGUGUGGGCGUGCGCUCUUGUGUGUGUGUUCUCGCGCGUGAGGCCUUGGAUUUCACACUCCAAGUCCGCCGCUUAUGCUUAAAACUCUUCUUAGAGGGAUUCACGGUUCUGAAGCCGUAAGAGACUGAGAGCAAUAACAGGUCUGUGAUGCCCUUAGAUGUUCUGGGCCGCACGCGCGCUACAAUGCCGGGCACAGCAGGUAGUUUUCCUUCUCCGACAGGAGCGGGGUAACCCUGUGAAAGCCCUAUUUCUAACAGUUUUUACGGGUGUCGAGACUUCGGUCUCGAUGCUCUUCUGGCGUGAUUGGGCCUGGGUCUUGCAAUUUUUUCCCACAAACGAGGAAUGCCUUGUAGCGGCGGGUCACUGAGCCCGCCGUGACUCAGUCCCUGCCCUUUGUACACACCGCCCGUCGCUACUACCGAUUGGGUGUACCAGUGAGAGCCUUGGACUGGCGUCCGCUGUUCCCUUUAUUGUGUGAACAAGCGGGUCCGACGGGAAGAGGUCCGAACUGGUGCACUUAGAGGAAGUAAAAGUCGUAACAAGGUUUCCGUAGUGAACCUGCGGAAGGAUCAUUA
RNAcentral lists this ribosomal RNA (2371 nucleotides) under Menigrates obtusifrons. RNAcentral's name for it is "18S ribosomal RNA". It matches the Rfam family "Eukaryotic small subunit ribosomal RNA". Lineage: Eukaryota; Metazoa; Arthropoda; Malacostraca; Amphipoda; Lysianassidae. The record is from RNAcentral.